Molecule: non-coding RNA, 92 nt
Organism: Triticum aestivum (bread wheat)
Lineage: Eukaryota; Viridiplantae; Streptophyta; Magnoliopsida; Poales; Poaceae
Source: Rfam
AAAACUAGCCAGUCUUUUGGGUAUGAAACCCAUUUGGGCGAGAGUAGUACUACGAUGGAUGACCUCCUGUGAAGUCCUCGUGAAAGGGUUUC